CCAAACUUGGUCAUUUAGAGGAAGUAAAAGUCGUAACAAGGUUUCCGUAGGUGAACCUGCGGAAGGAUCAUUACAAGUCGGCGAUCUCGCCGGAUCUCGGGGCAGCUCGCUGCUCCGGGGCACCCACCCUUUGCAUACGAAUACCAACGUUUCCUCGGCGGGCUUGCCCGCCAACGGGGACCCAACCAAACCCUUUGCAAUGAGAAGUCUACGUCUGAAAACAAACAAAUCGUUUACAACUUUCAACAAUGGAUCUCUUGGCUCUGGCAUCGAUGAAGAACGCAGC
This 286-nucleotide unclassified non-coding RNA is filed under the name uncultured fungus. RNAcentral's name for it is "partial contains small subunit ribosomal RNA, internal transcribed spacer 1, and 5.8S ribosomal RNA". The stretch from base 1 to 73 matches the Rfam family "Eukaryotic small subunit ribosomal RNA", at positions 1759 to 1831 of the family's 1831-position model. The record is from RNAcentral. Lineage: Eukaryota; Fungi.